Molecule: transfer RNA, 69 nt
Filed under: Sulfitobacter mediterraneus
Lineage: Bacteria; Pseudomonadati; Pseudomonadota; Alphaproteobacteria; Rhodobacterales; Roseobacteraceae
Also listed under: 13 other names
Rfam family: tRNA
About the family: Transfer RNA (tRNA) molecules are approximately 80 nucleotides in length. Their secondary structure includes four short double-helical elements and three loops (D, anti-codon, and T loops).
Source: RNAcentral
GGUUGUAGCUCAGCUGGUUAGAGUGCCGGCCUGUCACGCCGGAGGUCGCGGGUUCGAGCCCCGUCAACC